CGAAAUGCGAUAAGUAGUGUGAAUUGCAGAAUUCAGUGAAUCAUCGAAUCUUUGAACGCACAUUGCGCCCUUUGGUAUUCCCUAGGGCAUGCCUGUUCGAGCGUCAUCUAAACCUUCAAGCCCUGCUUGGUGUUGGGUGCCUGUCCCGCCUCCGCGCGCGGACUCACCUCAAAUCCAUUGGCGGCCCCCGCGUCGGCCACGAGCGCAGCAGAAACGCGAACUCGUGAGCCCGUCCGGGCGGCUCCCAGAAGCUACACCCACCCAGUUUGACCUCGGAUCAGGUAGGGAUACCCGCUGAACUUAAGC
This 306-nucleotide unclassified non-coding RNA is filed under the name plant metagenome. RNAcentral describes it as "partial contains 5.8S ribosomal RNA, internal transcribed spacer 2, and large subunit ribosomal RNA". The stretch from base 1 to 106 matches the Rfam family "5.8S ribosomal RNA", at positions 49 to 154 of the family's 154-position model. The record is from RNAcentral.